RNAcentral lists this unclassified non-coding RNA (233 nucleotides) under Hevea brasiliensis (rubber tree). The record is from RNAcentral. Lineage: Eukaryota; Viridiplantae; Streptophyta; Magnoliopsida; Malpighiales; Euphorbiaceae.
CGAGGAAGGAUGAAGAAGUAAGUAGUUGUCCGUGGAACAAACGGCAACAACAAUUGUCACUAAAGCUUGAUUAUGACGAAAUAUUGAAUGCUUGGUCCGAUAAAGGUCCACUUUACCUUCAGUCCCAGUCCCCCCAGAUUGUUCCAGACAUCCAUGACGAUUUCCUCGCCUUCGACAUGCCUUUUUCGAUAAAUGGGCAACUGAUGAGUAGCAGUUCAGUUGUGCAUAGAGUG